RNAcentral lists this ribosomal RNA (2902 nucleotides) under Klebsiella pneumoniae. Its description in RNAcentral is "23S ribosomal RNA". It matches the Rfam family "Bacterial large subunit ribosomal RNA". Lineage: Bacteria; Pseudomonadati; Pseudomonadota; Gammaproteobacteria; Enterobacterales; Enterobacteriaceae. The record is from RNAcentral.
GGUUAAGCGACUAAGCGUACACGGUGGAUGCCCUGGCAGUCAGAGGCGAUGAAGGACGUGCUAAUCUGCGAAAAGCGUCGGUAAGGUGAUAUGAACCGUUAUAACCGGCGAUGUCCGAAUGGGGAAACCCAGUGCAAUUCGUUGCACUAUCGUUAACUGAAUACAUAGGUUAACGAGGCGAACCGGGGGAACUGAAACAUCUAAGUACCCCGAGGAAAAGAAAUCAACCGAGAUUCCCCCAGUAGCGGCGAGCGAACGGGGAGCAGCCCAGAGUCUGAAUCAGCUUGUGUGUUAGUGGAACGGUCUGGAAAGUCCGACGGUACAGGGUGAUAGUCCCGUACACCAAAAUGCACAGGUUGUGAACUCGAAGAGUAGGGCGGGACACGUGGUAUCCUGUCUGAAUAUGGGGGGACCAUCCUCCAAGGCUAAAUACUCCUGACUGACCGAUAGUGAACCAGUACCGUGAGGGAAAGGCGAAAAGAACCCCGGCGAGGGGAGUGAAAAAGAACCUGAAACCGUGUACGUACAAGCAGUGGGAGCACCUUCGGGUGUGACUGCGUACCUUUUGUAUAAUGGGUCAGCGACUUAUAUUCUGUAGCAAGGUUAACCGUAUAGGGGAGCCGCAGGGAAACCGAGUCUUAACUGGGCGUUAAGUUGCAGGGUAUAGACCCGAAACCCGGUGAUCUAGCCAUGGGCAGGUUGAAGGUUGGGUAACACUAACUGGAGGACCGAACCGACUAAUGUUGAAAAAUUAGCGGAUGACUUGUGGCUGGGGGUGAAAGGCCAAUCAAACCGGGAGAUAGCUGGUUCUCCCCGAAAGCUAUUUAGGUAGCGCCUCGUGAAUUCAUCUUCGGGGGUAGAGCACUGUUUCGGCUAGGGGGUCAUCCCGACUUACCAACCCGAUGCAAACUACGAAUACCGAAGAAUGUUAUCACGGGAGACACACGGCGGGUGCUAACGUCCGUCGUGAAGAGGGAAACAACCCAGACCGCCAGCUAAGGUCCCAAAGUCAUGGUUAAGUGGGAAACGAUGUGGGAAGGCACAGACAGCCAGGAUGUUGGCUUAGAAGCAGCCAUCAUUUAAAGAAAGCGUAAUAGCUCACUGGUCGAGUCGGCCUGCGCGGAAGAUGUAACGGGGCUAAACCAUGCACCGAAGCUGCGGCAGCGACACUAUGUGUUGUUGGGUAGGGGAGCGUUCUGUAAGCCUGCGAAGGUGUGCUGUGAGGCAUGCUGGAGGUAUCAGAAGUGCGAAUGCUGACAUAAGUAACGAUAAAGCGGGUGAAAAGCCCGCUCGCCGGAAGACCAAGGGUUCCUGUCCAACGUUAAUCGGGGCAGGGUGAGUCGACCCCUAAGGCGAGGCCGAAAGGCGUAGUCGAUGGGAAACAGGUUAAUAUUCCUGUACUUGGUGUUACUGCGAAGGGGGGACGGAGAAGGCUAUGUUAGCCGGGCGACGGUUGUCCCGGUUUAAGCAUGUAGGCUGGUUAUCCAGGCAAAUCCGGAUAAUCAAGGCUGAGGUGUGAUGACGAGGCACUACGGUGCUGAAGUAACAAAUGCCCUGCUUCCAGGAAAAGCCUCUAAGCAUCAGGUAACAUCAAAUCGUACCCCAAACCGACACAGGUGGUCAGGUAGAGAAUACCAAGGCGCUUGAGAGAACUCGGGUGAAGGAACUAGGCAAAAUGGUGCCGUAACUUCGGGAGAAGGCACGCUGGUGUGUAGGUGAAGUCCCUGCGGAUGGAGCUGAGACCAGUCGAAGAUACCAGCUGGCUGCAACUGUUUAUUAAAAACACAGCACUGUGCAAACACGAAAGUGGACGUAUACGGUGUGACGCCUGCCCGGUGCCGGAAGGUUAAUUGAUGGGGUUAUCCGUAAGGAGAAGCUCUUGAUCGAAGCCCCGGUAAACGGCGGCCGUAACUAUAACGGUCCUAAGGUAGCGAAAUUCCUUGUCGGGUAAGUUCCGACCUGCACGAAUGGCGUAAUGAUGGCCAGGCUGUCUCCACCCGAGACUCAGUGAAAUUGAACUCGCUGUGAAGAUGCAGUGUACCCGCGGCAAGACGGAAAGACCCCGUGAACCUUUACUAUAGCUUGACACUGAACAUUGAGCCUUGAUGUGUAGGAUAGGUGGGAGGCUUUGAAGCGUGGACGCCAGUCUGCGUGGAGCCAACCUUGAAAUACCACCCUUUAAUGUUUGAUGUUCUAACGUUGGCCCCUGACCGGGGUUGCGGACAGUGUCUGGUGGGUAGUUUGACUGGGGCGGUCUCCUCCCAAAGCGUAACGGAGGAGCACGAAGGUUAGCUAAUCCUGGUCGGACAUCAGGAGGUUAGUGCAAUGGCAUAAGCUAGCUUGACUGCGAGCGUGACGGCGCGAGCAGGUGCGAAAGCAGGUCAUAGUGAUCCGGUGGUUCUGAAUGGAAGGGCCAUCGCUCAACGGAUAAAAGGUACUCCGGGGAUAACAGGCUGAUACCGCCCAAGAGUUCAUAUCGACGGCGGUGUUUGGCACCUCGAUGUCGGCUCAUCACAUCCUGGGGCUGAAGUAGGUCCCAAGGGUAUGGCUGUUCGCCAUUUAAAGUGGUACGCGAGCUGGGUUUAGAACGUCGUGAGACAGUUCGGUCCCUAUCUGCCGUGGGCGCUGGAGAAUUGAGGGGGGCUGCUCCUAGUACGAGAGGACCGGAGUGGACGCAUCACUGGUGUUCGGGUUGUCAUGCCAAUGGCACUGCCCGGUAGCUAAAUGCGGAAGAGAUAAGUGCUGAAAGCAUCUAAGCACGAAACUUGCCCCGAGAUGAGUUCUCCCUGAGACUUUAAGUCUCCUGAAGGAACGUUAAAGACGAUGACGUUGAUAGGCCGGGUGUGUAAGCGCAGCGAUGCGUUGAGCUAACCGGUACUAAUGAACCGUGAGGCUUAACCUU